This 368-nucleotide unclassified non-coding RNA is filed under the name uncultured Ascomycota. RNAcentral's name for it is "sequence contains ITS2". The stretch from base 1 to 154 matches the Rfam family "5.8S ribosomal RNA". The record is from RNAcentral. Lineage: Eukaryota; Fungi; Ascomycota.
AACUUUUAGCAAUGGAUCUCUUGGUUCCGGCAUCGAUGAAGAACGCAGCGAAAUGCGAUAAGUAAUGUGAAUUGCAGAUUUCAGUGAAUCAUCGAAUCUUUGAACGCACAUUGCGCCCCUUGGUAUUCCGAGGGGCAUGCCCGUCCGAGCGUCAUUUCGACCAUCAGGCCACGCCUGGUAUUGGACGUGGUCGUCACUGCGACCCCUCCGAAACUCAGAGCGGCGGCGCCGUCCGACCCGAAGCGUAGCAGAAAACCUCGCUCCGGAUCGUGUCGGUCGCUCGCCCGACGAGCACCUCAUCACGAAAUUUUGACCUCGGAUCGGGUAGGGUUACCCGCUGAACUUAAGCAUAUCAAUAAGCGGAGGCU